RNAcentral lists this ribosomal RNA (361 nucleotides) under uncultured bacterium. RNAcentral describes it as "bacterial SSU rRNA". It matches the Rfam family "Bacterial small subunit ribosomal RNA", at positions 29 to 417 of the family's 1533-position model. The record is from RNAcentral.
AACGAACGCUGGCGGCAGGCCUAACACAUGCAAGUCGAACGCCGUAGCAAUACGGAGUGGCAGACGGGUGAGUAACGCGUGGGAACGUGCCCUUCGGUUCGGAAUAAUCCAGGGAAACUUGGACUAAUACCGGAUACGUGCGAGAGCAGAAAGAUUUAUCGCCGAAGGAUCGGCCCGCGUCCGAUUAGCUAGUUGGUGAGGUAACGGCUCACCAAGGCGACGAUCGGUAGCUGGCUGAGAGGAUGAUCAGCCACACUGGGACUGAGACACGGCCCAGACUCCUACGGGAGGCAGCAGGUGGGGAAUAUUGGACAAUGGGCGCAAGCCUGAUCCAGCCAUGCCGCGUGAGUGACGAAGGCCC